RNAcentral lists this ribosomal RNA (234 nucleotides) under uncultured bacterium. RNAcentral's name for it is "partial 16S ribosomal RNA". It matches the Rfam family "Bacterial small subunit ribosomal RNA", at positions 97 to 334 of the family's 1533-position model. The record is from RNAcentral.
GGCGGACGGGUGAGUAACGCGUGGGAAUCUGCCUACUAGCGGGGGAUAGCCCGGAGAAAUCCGGAUUAAUACCGCAUACGCCCUACGGGGGAAAGCUGGGGAUCUUCGGACCUGGCACUAGUAGAUGAGCCCGCGUUGGAUUAGCUUGUUGGUGGGGUAAUGGCCCACCAAGGCAACGAUCCAUAGCUGUUCUGAGAGGAAGAUCAGCCACACUGGGACUGAGACACGGCCCAG